UGCUGUAGCUGAGACCAACACAUGGGACACAUUUUGUGGGAUUUGAGCGCUCAUGGUUCAUCUGUGUCUGUGCUGCAGGAUGAUGAUGAAGAUGCUGCUGCAGCUCCUCUGCCUCCUUGCUCCCUCUGAGCCUCCUCACGUGGAGCCGCAGGGCCCCUUCAACACCAGGGGCUGAAAGACCCUGAUGGCCCUGUGAGGAAACCGCAUAUCAUCAGCUGUGGAUGUUCUGAUCCAACGAUCCUGGGACUCCAAACUGGAAACUCUUCAUAUUCUUUUUUCUUUUUAUAAAAAAAUCCUUGUUUCACCCUCACACAGGAACAUUUCAGAAAAAGGAGCCCAAGUAACUCUUUAAUUUCCAGCACACGUCAUCUCCAACUGCAAAAACUUGUGUGAAUAAAAGGAGGGAUAAUUAACACAUGUGUAAUAGGGUUUCAUUCUGGUCAUUGCAGAGCUGAGAAGUCGUAUUUUCAACUCCUCUCCCUCUUUCAGUGCUCUCUCCUCAGAAAAGCUGGGGUCACAGUGUGGAAAAGCCCCCAGCGAACUGGUAGAAAUGCAGUCCCCAUUACAGCAGCAGCAGGGGUCAGGCCAUGGCAGCAAGCAUCCAACCUGCCUGAAAUUGGCUGCAAAAUGACCAAUUACCUGAGUGAAGGCUGCGGAGAAAGGACUUGGGGGGAAAAAUAUGGCUUUUACUUAAUUCAGCUAAACUGUAAAAGAAACUAGUGUCACAUUGAGGCUUCAUACUUGCCACACGUUACAGUGGCCCACCGGUUCAGCAAAGAUCUGCCCAUGAAAAUUCUCAACUUACAAGAAAAUGAAUUUCACAGAAAAUGUCAUAAACUCAUGUGUUGAUGCGAGAGAGCUGGAUUGUGUAGGGAUGGGCUGCAGAAUUAUUUCACCAACACUAAAACAACGAUUGAUUACACAUUUCUACGUGGAGCCCUAAUUGAAUUAAUUUCCCUGCAAAUGGAGAACAUGCAAAUUCUGAGAGCCGGACUGCUUGACGUUCAGCUGCCACUGCGCCUUUAGUCUGAAACCCCCUUUUUAGUUUUUGUUAAGAGUUAAGUCUCCAACAAAGACAGGAAGGAGGUCAGCACUCAGCCAACACCUGAAUGCGCCUCUCUUUAUUGUGCUCCCCUUGAUCCCCACAGUCUGUGCCUGUCAUUAGUCUUAAUGAUGGAAAAUUGUCAUGUUGAUACAAGUCUUGCUCUCCCCCUCUCUUCUUUGUAUAAGUAGAAGGUGGAAGCUCCAUUUGUAACAAAGUUCUUUGUGACUAAAAGCCGUGGACAUUGCAUUUGUGCUGCGGGAGGAAAAAAAGGCUGUAGAUGCUCUUUCCAUAGCUGGGAUAAUUAUUCCUACUGUGACCUUAAUGAUUCGCUCUGUUCAUCCUGCAUCUCAUCCACGCGCCAGGCCCUCAGCAGAGCCCUGUGUCAGGGAAUAUGAAAAACCCAUAUAAUGAAACCAUUUUGGCUGAUGGAAAAAAAGGGCUACUGAAGCUGCACUUGCUACAAAGACGGCUCAAUUAUAUGAGUAAUUGUGAUAAUUUUCCCUCCAUUCACGGCUUUCUCUGAAAGGUAAAAAACACAGAUGGUGAAAGGGAAAUUACUUGGACAAUAUAUAAUCUGUGAAAUGGUCACAACAGAAAAAAAAGGUGACUGUAAGAAAGUGAGCGACUAUAAAUAGGUAUGUUAAUGCAGGGCACAUAAAUACACUCUUAGAAGCUCGCCGACAUAAACAAACAGCACUACCCCUGUAUGCUCAUGUGAGAAAAAAGAAACAUGCAACAAAUGACCAUUGCAAAAAAAAAGAAGAAAGAAAGGAAAAACAUGAUAAGAGUAGAUGUGCAGCUGCCAGAAAAUUAAACCUCCUUCUCCUUCCUAUUGACAAAUUUCGGCUCCUGAAAAUGCACCCCCAUAGUUGGCUAUCAUUUGUUGUUCUCUGACAGGAAAAGGAUAAUUACCUCUCUCAGAGGCAGGAGGACUGACAUGCCCUUUAGACUUAGCUUGAUAGAAAAGCCUCGGGAAUAAUUUUGUCUUUGCCUCUUUCCUUUAUGUUCAAGAGCAUGUUUUGUUCGAAAGAAGUUGGACAUGGCAGAAUUGUAGAGUGCAUUAAACCGUGGGUGUUCAGGUUCAUACUGUAAAUAUGACAUCCCAGUGUCUAUCAGCUUCUCCAUUCGAGGGGAAGGGGGGGAAAAAACUCUAAAAUGCAUUAAAAUUUCAAUUUCAUCUUGCUGGGAGACAGGCGAGAUAGUGAGAUAUGCAUUACUUCUUUUUCUUUUCACAGUGGGAGUUGGAUUAAACAUUUCUUCCCUCUGCAAAAAAAAAAGAAGAAAAAGCUUCUUUCUGUCAGGCAGGAGCGAGGCCGUGAAUUCAAGUUUGGUGGAGACAGAAAUUCGUUGGAUUUGAGGAAGUGUCCAACAUAUGUAGAAGGGCAGGAACGGUGUCCUGUAAAAAGAACUGUAUUUGCCCUGUUUUCCUGCGUUUCAUUGAAACUUUUAGCGCUCUAAUACAAAUAAAAAAAGAUUCUUGUGUGAUAUUUCAUCAAGUCCAAAACUAAAUACCCCCACAAAAAGUGCAUUAGGGCACAAACCUCCCACGUUUGGCCGCUGACCCCUCAGGCCCUGCAAUCUGGAAUAAAUCUCUCUCCACCAGCCAAGCAGCAUUACAGCCUCGCAGCUCAAAAAUACUUGUAUCAUACUCAAAUGAUGAGUCUCUGUCACACACCAUGUCAUCAGCUUCACCGCGGCCCCCCCGAUAACUUCCGUCCCAUUGAGCAGCCUCGCGUGUUACGGAGGCCGAGGAAGCCAAGAGACCCCCCUGGUCCCACCUGAUUGUGCCUCCAUGUAACAUGGAGAAGCAGCUUGGUCCCACCACCAGCCAAUACUCAGCAUUGCUUUUGUGUAGCACACACACACACACACACAUGUGCGCACACACUCGCACAAACCACCAAUCUCAAUUCAGUGCACCCCGCUGUGCACUUCCUGACAGCCUCCAGAAAUGUUUUCAACUUGUCAAGACCCUACAGUAAUGGUCCGGGAGCAGAAGAUUACGACAAAACAAUAAUCAUGUGAUCGCAGAUUUGUAGAAUGUAUACAAGAAUAAAAGUGUUUGUGUUGCCUCUUUUA
This is a long non-coding RNA of Hippoglossus stenolepis (Pacific halibut), 3124 nucleotides long. RefSeq lists it as uncharacterized. NCBI's taxonomy places the organism in Eukaryota, Metazoa, Chordata, Actinopteri, Pleuronectiformes, Pleuronectidae. The transcript has 2 exons. The record is from RefSeq and is a predicted model, not a curated record.